Molecule: ribosomal RNA, 253 nt
Filed under: uncultured bacterium
Lineage: Bacteria
Description: partial 16S ribosomal RNA
Rfam family: Bacterial small subunit ribosomal RNA
Source: RNAcentral
UACGUAGGGGGCAAGCGUUGUCCGGAAUCAUUGGGCGUAAAGAGCGUGUAGGCGGCUCGGUAAGUCCGCUGUGAAAGUCCAGGGCUCAACCCUGGAAAGCCGGUGGAAACUGUCGAGCUCGAGUCCGGAAGAGGCGAGUGGAAUUCCUGGUGUAGCGGUGAAAUGCGCAGAUAUCAGGAAGAACACCCGUGGCGAAGGCGGCUCUCUGGGACGGUACUGACGCUGAGACGCGAAAGCGUGGGGAGCUAACAGG